AGAGUUUGAUCCUGGCUCAGAAUGAACGCUGGCGGCGCGCCUAAUACAUGCAAGUCGAGCGAGAAGACGUAGCAAUACGUUUGUAAAGCGGCGAACGGGUGAGGAAUACAUGGGUAACCUACCCUCGAGUGGGGAAUAACUAGCCGAAAGGUUAGCUAAUACCGCGUACGCUCCUUGGACUUCGGUUCAGGGAGGAAAGCGCUACCGUGGGUAGCGCGCUCUUGGAUGGGCUCAUGUCCUAUCAGCUUGUUGGUGAGGUAACGGCUCACCAAGGCUUCGACGGGUAGCUGGUCUGAGAGGACGACCAGCCACACUGGCACUGCGACACGGGCCAGACUCCUACGGGAGGCAGCAGUAAGGAAUAUUGCGCAAUGGGCGAAAGCCUGACGCAGCGACGCCGCGUGGGGGAUGAAGGUCUUCGGAUUGUAAACCCCUUUCGGGAGGGAAGAUGGAAUGGGGUAACCCAUUUGGACGG
This 475-nucleotide ribosomal RNA is filed under the name uncultured Nitrospira sp. RNAcentral's name for it is "bacterial SSU rRNA". It matches the Rfam family "Bacterial small subunit ribosomal RNA", at positions 8 to 475 of the family's 1533-position model. The record is from RNAcentral. Lineage: Bacteria; Pseudomonadati; Nitrospirota; Nitrospiria; Nitrospirales; Nitrospiraceae.